This 255-nucleotide unclassified non-coding RNA is filed under the name Hevea brasiliensis (rubber tree). The record is from RNAcentral. Lineage: Eukaryota; Viridiplantae; Streptophyta; Magnoliopsida; Malpighiales; Euphorbiaceae.
GGCGAAGAAGUUGGCGGUGGAGUGGAAGGGGAAGGUGUCGGAGGGCAGCGGAGAUAAUGGUCUGGAGGUAAUGGGGUUCUUGCAGUUGCUGGCGUCGUAUGGCUUGGCGGCGGAAUUUGGGACAGAGGAAUUGUUGGAGGUACUGACUGUGAUCUCGCGGAGGAAGCAGGUGCCGGAAUUGAUCAAGAACCUCGGUCUUACUGAUAAGUUGCCCGAUCUUAUUCAGAAACUGAGCAACAAGGGGAAACGACUUGA